AGAGGACUGAAAAUCCUCGUGUCACCAGUUCAAAAAGGG
RNAcentral lists this transfer RNA (39 nucleotides) under Lagerstroemia indica (crepe myrtle). RNAcentral describes it as "partial tRNA-Phe". Lineage: Eukaryota; Viridiplantae; Streptophyta; Magnoliopsida; Myrtales; Lythraceae. The record is from RNAcentral.